UCCCUGGUAGUAUAUCGGUUAGUACACGCGCCUGUCACGUAUGUCAUAUAUCUUGGCUGUCACGCGCGAAAGCUGGGUUCGACUCCCAGCCAGGGAG
Dendrothele bispora CBS 962.96 is the source of this 97-nucleotide non-coding RNA. Lineage: Eukaryota; Fungi; Basidiomycota; Agaricomycetes; Agaricales. The record is from the annotation of a GenBank genome assembly.